CUGCGCUCUCUCCUAAAUCCUUAUGUAUAUUUAAACAAAUGGAGGUUUAAAUAUACAUAGGGAUUUAGGAGAGAGCACAGGU
Molecule: microRNA precursor, 82 nt
Filed under: Pelobates cultripes (western spadefoot toad)
Lineage: Eukaryota; Metazoa; Chordata; Amphibia; Anura; Pelobatidae
Source: RNAcentral